RNAcentral lists this ribosomal RNA (429 nucleotides) under uncultured bacterium. RNAcentral's name for it is "bacterial SSU rRNA". It matches the Rfam family "Bacterial small subunit ribosomal RNA", at positions 355 to 776 of the family's 1533-position model. The record is from RNAcentral.
CUAAGAAUAUUCCGCAAUGGACGAAAGUCUGACGGAGCGACGCCGCGUGGAUGACGAAGGCCGAAAGGUUGUAAAAUCCUUUUGUUGGGGAAGAAUAAGCGUGACAGGUAAUGGUCGCGUGAUGACAUGAACCGACGAAUAAGCCCCGGCUAACUACGUGCCAGCAGCCGCGGUAACACGUAGGGGGCAAGCGUUGUUCGGAAUUACUGGGCGUAAAGGGCAUGUAGGCGGCCUUGUAAGCCUGGCGUGAAAGUCACCGGCUCAACCGGUGGAUUGCGUCGGGAACUGCGAGGCUUGAGUCACGGAGGGGAAGGUAGAAUUCCUGGUGUAGGGGUGAAAUCUGUAGAGAUCAGGAAGAAUACCAGUGGCGAAGGCGACCUUCUGGCCGAUGACUGACGCUGAGGUGCGAAAGUGUGGGGAUCAAACAGG